AAAACAUCGGUCUCUCUUGGUUGUCUUCUUGCUCUCUACCUUCUUAGUAGCACUUACUUCAAGUACAUGCUUUCAUAUAUCUUGUUUUAUUACUUGUCAUCCUAGCCCGUCUUGAAAUACCUAGUAGUAGAUUUGCUAGUAGUUGCUUAUCUUUUGAGUUUCUAAUUAAAGUUUGUUAAGUAUUGUGUUUUAGCUUAAAACUGCCUAUUCACCCCCCUCUAGUCGGUAUCCUAGAUCCUACAAUCGCCCAUACUUAAAGUGCAUUACAUGACAACACAAUGAAAAGUCCAACAGUAAUGGAUACUACUGUGCAACGAGGUCACUUUCCCUUCCUCAGGGCAUCGGGAUUCUCCUCAAUCGCUGCUUUUGCUCGGCGUGCACGCUCAAGCUUCUUCUCCCUCUCCUCCUUGUUCGCAGCAACACGCCUCCU
This 430-nucleotide long non-coding RNA is filed under the name Setaria viridis. Its description in RNAcentral is "long non-coding RNA (SVIR_LNC009234)". The record is from RNAcentral. Lineage: Eukaryota; Viridiplantae; Streptophyta; Magnoliopsida; Poales; Poaceae.